UCUCACACCCGGAGGGUAAGCGACCUUCCCGUCGGCACUCACGACGCCACAGAGGGCAGUGGCAGGCUUGGGCUGUGCGGUGAAGUCCAUCCUGGGGGACAACUUUUUGUUCACAGACCUCUACUGGCCUCUCCUCCUCAUGCGGGCGGAAGGUGCAUUGAGCGCCUGGGCCUCUGUCAGGUGGUUGCACUGCCAUCCCUUGUCGGGUUGCACACAAAGUGGCUCCGCGGGUCCCGCCGCUGCCAAAUUCUCGAGGGCCGCCGCUGCCAACUUCUCUCUGGCCGGGCCGGGGCCGCCGUCGCCUUCGCUGACUUACUUCCUGCUGAGCUGGGGCGGCCAUCUCUGCUGACUUCUCUCUGGCCGGCCCCGGGAGCGGCGCUAGGGCUGGCAAUGCUGAGGAGCAGCCACCGCAGGAGGAGAUGCAGGGGUUGCAGAAUUACCAGCAAUCCUCUUCCUGCCACCCAGGGCAGGCCUGUCCGCAGCAGAAGGUCAUGAGGCUGGUCGACCUGUGAAAAUGAGCUGAGCUGAGGUAAGAGAGAUAUACUGAGUUCAGUCCCCAGUUCUAAGUCCCGAGGCUCAGGUUUCUGAAGCUCAUCU
RNAcentral lists this long non-coding RNA (597 nucleotides) under Callithrix jacchus (white-tufted-ear marmoset). RNAcentral describes it as "lncRNA (ENSCJAG00000051430.2)". The record is from RNAcentral. Lineage: Eukaryota; Metazoa; Chordata; Mammalia; Primates; Cebidae.